UACGAAGGGUGCAAGCGUUACUCGGAAUUACUGGGCGUAAAGCGUGCGUAGGUGGUCGUUUAAGUCUGUUGUGAAAGCCCUGGGCUCAACCUGGGAACUGCAGUGGAAACUGGACGACUAGAGUGUGGUAGAGGGUAGCGGAAUUCCUGGUGUAGCAGUGAAAUGCGUAGAGAUCAGGAGGAACAUCCAUGGCGAAGGCAGCUACCUGGACCAACACUGACACUGAGGCACGAAAGCGUGGGGAGCAAACAGGAUUAGAAACCCUUGUAGU
Molecule: ribosomal RNA, 271 nt
Filed under: uncultured bacterium
Lineage: Bacteria
Description: partial 16S ribosomal RNA
Rfam family: Bacterial small subunit ribosomal RNA
Source: RNAcentral